Molecule: transfer RNA, 76 nt
Filed under: bacterium
Lineage: Bacteria
Also listed under: 2 other names
Description: tRNA-Ile
Rfam family: tRNA
About the family: Transfer RNA (tRNA) molecules are approximately 80 nucleotides in length. Their secondary structure includes four short double-helical elements and three loops (D, anti-codon, and T loops).
Source: RNAcentral
GGGUGAUUAGCUCAGUUGGUAGAGCGCUCGUCUUAUACACGAGUGGUCCCUGGUUCGAGCCCAGGAUCACCCACCA